RNAcentral lists this ribosomal RNA (253 nucleotides) under uncultured bacterium. RNAcentral's name for it is "partial 16S ribosomal RNA". It matches the Rfam family "Bacterial small subunit ribosomal RNA", at positions 524 to 776 of the family's 1533-position model. The record is from RNAcentral.
UACGUAGGGGGCAAGCGUUGUCCGGAAUCAUUGGGCGUAAAGAGCGCGUAGGCGGCCCUGUAAGUCCGCUGUGAAAGUCAAGGGCUCAACCCUUGAAUGCCGGUGGAUACUGCAGGGCUAGAGUCCGGAAGAGGCGAGUGGAAUUCCUGGUGUAGCGGUGAAAUGCGCAGAUAUCAGGAGGAACACCGAUGGCGAAGGCAGCUCGCUGGGACGGUACUGACGCUGAUGCGCGAAAGCCAGGGGAGCAAACGGG